UACGAAGGGGGCUAGCGUUGCUCGGAAUUACUGGGCGUAAAGGGCGCGUAGGCGGCGUGCCAAGUCGGGCGUGAAAUUCCUGGGCUCAACCUGGGGGCUGCGCUCGAGACUGGUGUGCUAGAGGGCAGGAGAGGCUCGUGGAAUUCCCAGUGUAGAGGUGAAAUUCGUAGAUAUUGGGAAGAACACCGGUGGCGAAGGCGGCGAGCUGGCCUGUUACUGACGCUGAGGCGCGACAGCGUGGGGAGCAAACAGG
This 253-nucleotide ribosomal RNA is filed under the name uncultured bacterium. RNAcentral describes it as "partial 16S ribosomal RNA". It matches the Rfam family "Bacterial small subunit ribosomal RNA", at positions 524 to 776 of the family's 1533-position model. The record is from RNAcentral.